GAUGAUCUGUGACCUUUAAAUCCCGGCAGCUUAGCGAGGAGGUGUGAGUGUGGUCGCCACACUUCACUUGCUCCUCCUCGCCUGCCCCUUCUUCCCCCUCUUCUGCACCAGUGGCAAGUCAAGAGACCACUGGUUGCCGUGCCUCUCUUCUCCGGCCGAGACCGGAAAGGCAGAAACCUCCGAUGGCUCCCUCCGCCAGGCGGCCAUUGUCCCUGCCGCCGGCGCCGUCGCCUAGGCGCGAGGAUCGUCGCCGUGGACACCGCCGGCGCCGGAGGCUCCUCUGGAUGGAGCGAGCGCCUCCCAUGAUGCGGAGGACGGGUUAACUGAUUCGUUGGAGCUGUGUGCAAUGCAACCGUGCAUGCAUGUAGGCAAGUCUAAUGCUUGACUGUUCUGUUAGUUCGACUUGGUUGUAAUUGCCAGAUUCCCUUUCUUCUGUGCGUGUUCUUGGCUGGCGGAGCCCUCUUUACUUUUCGUUUCCUAUAUAUGCCAUCUACCCGUCUCCGGAUUUCUCCUCGGCGCCUUGUGUUCUUAUGUUUGUCAGUUUGUUUAAUUCCCUCCUAUCUAUUUGUGCUGCUGGCUCGCUGGUUGAUUAUUUUCGAUGCUUUCUCUGCAUGACUUGUAAUGUGCAAACCGAUCUCUCCACCAGGCAUCCAGUGGAGGCGAUCAGAGUCGGAGAGUGAUUUGUGAGAGAAAAGGCAAGCGCGCGGCCGAAAGAGUUUUUAGUACUAAUACUAUUACCUUGUGCUAGCUGCUAACUAUGAAUGAGUGUCACAUCUGUUGGCUUUUAAUCCGUAGAUCAAAAGACGAGAACAGCAGCACACAUACGUACGUGCAAAGCUAGUAAGCUAGCAAGCAGGUAGCUGGAUGGAUAUACAGCCACAUAUGUGUGUGCAGCCGUAUCGUUUCUUCAACCGGCUACGAUCGACACGACACGAUUUUGACGAAACGAACAUGAAGGCACGAAUCGAUGUAUGGCCACAGGCUCGUGUCGAGCACAGGCUCGUGUCGAGCCUGUCAAACUUUGUAUUGCUUUUCGUUUCUAUUGGUGUUACAAGCACCACCCCUAGGAUGCCUUUUAUACACAUCCACAAGGUACUAUGGAAAUAGACUAGGACUAGGUAUCCUAAUACUACUAGGACUUGGUUUGACUUUUUUUUCCUAAUCCUAUGUGUAAAGGGUAACGUGAUUAACUCACAUUCACCCC
This 1204-nucleotide long non-coding RNA is filed under the name Hordeum vulgare. Its description in RNAcentral is "long non-coding RNA (HVUL_LNC011053)". The record is from RNAcentral. Lineage: Eukaryota; Viridiplantae; Streptophyta; Magnoliopsida; Poales; Poaceae.